RNAcentral lists this microRNA precursor (96 nucleotides) under Picea abies (Norway spruce). RNAcentral describes it as "miR536a stem-loop (pab-MIR536a)". Its record names the gene pab-MIR536a. Lineage: Eukaryota; Viridiplantae; Streptophyta; Pinopsida; Pinales; Pinaceae. The record is from miRBase by way of RNAcentral.
CUUUCAGAGCCGUAGUUUGGCACGAUUCAAUGGUUGUGUAAUUCUUUGAAUUUGUAUCUCUCCCUUGCACCGUGCCAAGCUGCGUGCACCUGAAAG